CCCAGAAACGUGAGCUGUAAAGCUUAGCAAAGAAGUUGAGGACGUCAUUAGUCCGCCGCGAAGAGAAGAAACAAAAAUGGCGUUCUUCCAAGUUCGUCCUCUACCGCGCUCGUCUCUUCCGAUUACCUUCCUUGAGGUUCCGUUUCCGUCCCGUCACUGCUUCCUCACACAUUUGUGCUCCAUCGAUCGACAAGUCUACGUUCUUCGUAUCCGAAACGGUGUCAGAGGAUGAGCUUUGGGCUGCACCUUGUCUUCGCGUACGGACCUUCAAUGAGCUCAAUAUCCUUCUGCUUACAAUAUCCAAUUUCUUUAGGAUCACAGAAUAUACUUGUCCGAGCGUGAGUUCGAGGCGCUUAAGGAGAGAACUUCAGGAAAGAGGGAAGGGUUUAGGCCGGUCGCCUGCAUAAAUGCUACUCUUCCUUUGUCGCAACUAUCAAGCUCUUCCGAGGAUUUAUGCUCUGCAUGUAAGAAACAACAGGAAACGUAGCUGGUAUCAGAGCUUUAUGUGAUGAAAUAGUAGAGAUCCAAACCAAGAUUGAGAUCAAAUGAAAGAUAUCUGAAGUGCUAUCAUCUUACUGUCAAGUAAGUUAAUGCAGCCUUAAGACACCUCGUUGAUGGCUUGUUUUUUUGUGUUUAAGAUUGCAUUUCAGUGUAGUUUAAUUCUCUCUUAAAUAUGCAACAUAAUAAAUGAAUUACAAAAGAACUUGCUUUUGCUUCUAUUUUUCCAUUGUUUUGUGCAUGGAGUAGCUUCUCCAUCUGUUGGGACGAGUGAGAUUUGUAAAAGAAGUUCCAUUUCAUUUUUUUU
This is a long non-coding RNA of Capsella rubella, 805 nucleotides long. RefSeq lists it as uncharacterized. Lineage: Eukaryota; Viridiplantae; Streptophyta; Magnoliopsida; Brassicales; Brassicaceae. The record is from RefSeq and is a predicted model, not a curated record. The transcript is spliced from 3 exons.